GCUUACGACCACACCGGCCUGAGUACGCCUGAUCUCGUCUGAUCUCGGAAGCUAAGCAGGGUCGGGCCUGGUUAGUACUUGGAUGGGAGACUUCCUGGGAAUACCAGGUGAAAUGUAAGCU
Oncorhynchus tshawytscha (Chinook salmon) is the source of this 121-nucleotide ribosomal RNA. The record is from Ensembl. Lineage: Eukaryota; Metazoa; Chordata; Actinopteri; Salmoniformes; Salmonidae.